Molecule: unclassified non-coding RNA, 146 nt
Filed under: uncultured Ascomycota
Lineage: Eukaryota; Fungi; Ascomycota
Also listed under: 2 other names
Description: partial internal transcribed spacer 2
Source: RNAcentral
CAACCCCUCAAGCUUCGGCUUGGUCUUGGAGCCUGCGGUCUCGCAGCCCCUAAACUCAGUGGCGGUGCUAUUGAGCUCUGAGCGUAGUAAAUCUCCUCGCUAUAGAGCCUCGGUAGUUGCUUGCCAACAACCCCCAAUUUUUAUCA